GUUGUCCUACGGGACGCAGCAGUGGGGAAUAUUGCACAAUGGGGGAAACCCUGAUGCAGCGACGCCGCGUGAGUGAAGAAGUAUCUCGGUAUGUAAAGCUCUAUCAGCAGGAAAGAUAAUGACGGUACCUGACUAAGAAGCCCCGGCUAACUACGUGCCAGCAGCCGCGGUAAUACGUAGGGGGCAAGCGUUAUCCGGAUUUACUGGGUGUAAAGGGAGCGUAGACGGCAGCGCAAGUCUGGAGUGAAAUGCCGGGGCUC
RNAcentral lists this ribosomal RNA (260 nucleotides) under uncultured bacterium. Its description in RNAcentral is "partial 16S ribosomal RNA". It matches the Rfam family "Bacterial small subunit ribosomal RNA", at positions 333 to 610 of the family's 1533-position model. The record is from RNAcentral.